AUUGAACGAAAUAACGUUAAAGGAAAGAGGUUAUGAAGGUAUGUUAGAUUUUUUACCUUUUAAUCUAGAUAAGAUAUGAAAAAUCAUGUAAGAAUGUUUAUUUCAGUAACAAUGACUAAAAUACAUUAUAAACACGAAAUUUGUUAAUUUCAAUAAAGUUUUUAAACAUUAACUGUACAAAGGAACAUGAUUUGUAUUUUUUGCGAUCAUAGGCAGACACAGGUGAAUAUAUAAAGCACUUGAAAGCAGUCAGAUACUUUUUCGAAAAACAUAGUUCAAGUACAAAUGUUAAUUAAUUAGUAAAUGUGGUUAUUAUAUUGAUAUCAAAUAAUUCAAAGACUAAAAUAUUAGACUUUGAAAGAUAAAAGUUUUAUAAUUAUUUUAUAUAUAGGCACUUUUAUAGGUAUAUGUCAGCCUUUGUGCAAGGACAACCUCUUAUACCUUGUCCAUCGGAUUACAUAUGAUUAAAAAAUACUGGCGUUAGCUAUAUAUAUAUAAAUAGAAAAUGCUAUACACUAUCAUUCGGAAAUAGCAUGAUGCAAUUUCCUAAAAUCUAUAAAUCAAGCCUGCCUUUUUCCCCUUCAAAAUUAUCGCUGAAACUCAUUUUAGAUAAUGUCUCAUUGUUUAUAAAAGCGAUCUCAAAAUUUUUUUUUUUUUAUAUAUGUUCACGAUUUUUUUCAUUUACAGAAUACUUUCGUUUACGUAUGACCAAUAAAUUUCACCUACAGAUAUAGCAAUUUUUUUCCACCAUUGAAUAUUUCUUAAAAUUUGCAUACAUAUACUACAUGUACUAUGCAAUGGAUAAAAAUUUGGGUUAAAAAUAGUAUGUCACCAGACUCGUUACUAUUGUAACGGUCACCAAAGUUGGUACAUCACGUGCAUACCUGAUGUAGAAACUCUGGAUUUUUUUUAAGCCUUUGAAAGUAUUUUGAAAGGUUUGUUCUUCAUUUAUUACAAAAUUUAUAUUUAAAAUGUAAUAAACACAAAUAAUGGCAGUUUUAUUCAUAUUCAUUGAUUUCAGCUCAAAUUUUAUCAACACUCCUCCACCCAAAAACACAGAUUUUGUUAAAAAUUUCUAUUUUUCUUAAAUUUCCCAAAAAAUGGUCCAAUGAAUAUUUUUUUUUAAUUUGACAUAAGAUGGUCAAAACAAUGAGCUUUAAAAAGAAAUAAAAAUAAAAUAUGGGUCACAAGACUAUUUUUUGCCCGAAAAACGUUUUUGUGACCCCUAACGAAAUAGUGAUCAACAGCAAUUUUUUGUAUAUCUUUCAUCAUCGGUGAACCAAGUGUGACAUAUGUUGUCAUAUCCUUUGUUAAACUAACACAGAAUAAUACAGUUUCACAAGGCAAUCAAAUGAAAGCAUUUUUUUUGGUUUCUACGAACAACGAUUACCAUUGCAACAGGACAUGAAGUUGGAAAAUUAAAGUUUUUGCAUUGUUCUGAUGUGCAAAAGUUACAAUCUAACAGACAAUAAGAGAUCAAAUACCAUGAUUUCAGAACAACAACACAUGGCUUCUAUGUAGAUGUAUACAAAUAUUAUGAUACAUUGUAAUGCAACACGACGGGUGCCACAUGUGGAGCAGGAUCUGCUUACCCUUCCGGAGCACCUGGGAUCACCCCUAGUUUUUGGUGGGGUUCGUGUUGUUUAUUCUUUAGUUUUCUAUGUUGUGUCAUGUGUACUAUUGUUUUUCUGUUUGUCUUUUUCAUUUUUAGCCAUGGCGUUGUCAGUUCGUUUUAGAUUUAUGAGUUUGACUGUCCCUUUGGUAUCUUUCGUCCCUCUUUUAUAGACCUGUUUGUAAACAAAAGGUGCAAUCUUAAAUACUCUUUAAAAUGAUAUUAUUUUCAUAUUUUGUGUACUGUUUCGUAGGGGAUUUUUGUCCCCUACGAAACUGCUUCUAAACACACAUAAUUUUUGCAAUUUUAAUGUUUCUAUAGACAUUCCAGUUUGUUUACUUUAUAUACUAGAAAAAUCUCUUUUUUUCUCUGAAUUGGAGAACCAUUUUUUAUCGAUAAAGAUUAGACAGUACUUCACAUAUGAAGGUACAACUCAUGUUACGUAGUGGACAUUUUGAUGCGUUUCAUAGUUGACAAACCCGUUUCGUAGUAGACAAAAAGUUUCGUAGUUGACAUCAACCCUAUUCUAUGUUAAUAAAAACAUAAUAAAAUUACAUGAACUAACCUUUGUUAUUUGCUUUUGCACGAAUAUAAUUGAAAAAAGAGUAAAAAAGACUGCAUGGUAGUGGUAGUGUCACUACGAAACGUUUUUCUUCCAAACUUUUGCGUAGGGACCUUCGUAGGGGACGUAUUCACAUGUUUUAUUUUUUUCUCACAACCCCAAUAUUGCAAUAGUAAAAGGACUGUAUUCAUAAAGCGUAUUAAGCUGUACACUGAUAUUUUUUUCAUAAUUUUAAAACCAGUUACUGAAGGAAAUUUGACCCGUUUCGUAGUGGACAUUUACAAAAAUACGGUAUCACUCUGGUCCAUUUGAUGUGCUCAAUUAUUAUUACCAACAGUUUAAUUGCCGUUAUAAAGCAUCACUUUUUGUAAGACUAAUGUUCAUAUCUCUUGCAAACAAAAAAAUACAUUGAUUUUAUAAAACUGUUAAUAAACAUGUUUUAAUGACUUCGUUUCGUAGUGGACAUUGUGUUAGGGACACACCUUCUAAAAUAAAAAAAAAUCCUAUGUUAAAAGCUGUUUAUAAAAAUAUGUUGGCUCUAAACAUACUUUUGAAUUAUUAAAGAACUUAUAUUAAGUAAAAUUAAUAUUUAUUUCUACAUUUUUUAUGAUAUUUGAGAGAAUGAAUGUUGAACAGGCGGUCUAGGGACAUGCCGUUUUGGUUGUUUUGGACCAUUCAGGAAUCUUAUCUUAUCAAUCCCUCUAAAAAUAAACUGUUUCUUUGCUUAAAAUGUUAUAUCUAAUUCAAUGUACUGACUGCACAAAAAAUUACUUGCAAAGAUCAAACACAUUUUUUUUAAAGUGGCUGGGACAAGAAAGUACGUUUUUAUUGAAAAACGCCCAUAUAUGAUAUAGGGAGCAUUAAAAUGUCCAAUGCAAAAUCAAGGUAUACAUGUAUAUUUAAUAGGUGUGACCUUUACCGUUUACCUUAAAUCAAAACAGUUGAACUGUUCUUUUUGGUAUAAAUUUACAUCUACAGCAUGUGACCAAGUUUGUGAUAAACAUAAGUAAUCUACAUCACAUAGUUAGCUUCAUUGUCAUAAUUGUGGCACAUAAGAACCAGUGGCAGUCUUGAUUAUAUACUUUAUAUUUAAAUUUUAAAAUAAAGCACAAAUCAAUAGUGUAAAAUGUGGAUCACUGUGACCUUCGUUUGCCUGGAAGCUGAGUUACUAACUGAGACUCUGAGAGUGUUUAUUUAAGUUUGCAUGAUCUGACAUCUUAUAGUUGCUGCGAUAUACAUGUGUUGUAUGUACAAUUGGAUGUUUAACGUAACCAAAGUCAGUGAAGUGGAAAAUGUAGGUCAGUAACAUCUGUGUACAAGUUUACAUGAUCCUACAUUUUAUAGUUGAGUCUACUAAAUAUAGUGUCCAAAAAGAAAUGUUUAUGCCUGCAACACACCAUUAUUAGAUUAAAAAGUCUCAAAUAAAACCUCAAGUUUUUUUCUCAAAGGUAAAUACAUGUAAUUAUCCUAAAAUGUAUGUAUUUACCAUUGACAGCCAUCCUUUAUUUUUCUGUAAAACUGCUGCUAAUAACCUGCUGUUAAAGGAUGACCAUGAGACCUACAAUUGAUGAAAAAUAUAACAAAAAUUAAAUAAGAAAAUUUAUAUAAUAUAGGAUUUAAAAAGUGAGAUUUUAUAUUACUUGUUAUCAAUUUUGGUUGUUCAAUAUCAAAAUAAUGAAUAUAAUGAUAAAAAAAAUCUAUUUCUUUUAAUAAAAUAACUAUAAAUCCACUCAAAUUGAAACUGAGAAAAAAAUCAUAUUCCAUAUAAUAACAAGAGCAUUGCUAAGUAUGGCAUCCUCUCACCAUAGAAGACUGUUGCUUUCACGUGGGUGUUUAGAAUCUACAAUGUCCACUUUCACCUUGACAUUUGGGAAUAUCUUUUAUAUUAAUAAAGUUUAUGCCUAAAUUCUUUAAAUUUACCUGUAUUACUUUCAUAUUUUCAACCAAUACCAAACAUUUGCCAUUCUGCAACAAAACUAGCUUCAACCUAAUGAACAAAUAUAGUAACAAAUAUAUAUAUAAAUGAAAGUGCAUGCAGUGUUCAAAUAUAAUAACUAAAACAUAUUACAUUUAAAAUUAACUGGAAACUCAGCCUGUUAACUAUGAAAUUUGUAAUAAUAAUGUAUAAAGGCUUUCAAAACCAAAUAGGUUUCAUUAAAUUUGUUGAAAUAAUCCUUUAAUAUAGAUUUCAUUUAAUAAAUACAAAUGUAACUAAUUCUAGUUCAAUAUUUUUGUUGAAACAAAUUCUAUCAUGUUCUAUACAUGAAAGUCUUCAAGUAUAUAUAACAAUGCUUUACCACAAAAUUGAUUUGAAAUAUUGACCCUAAACUUGAAAUUAUUACCAAGAUCUGUUAAUUCAUUUUUAUGACUGCUUAAGGGCAAAUAUGAAUAUAACUAUGGUCCUCAUUAUACUUCAUAUCUACUAUCUAUUACUCAUUAAAUUAACCAUGUUUCAAACUGUUUCUUCUUUUAAAUUUUACUUACAGGAUUCUUUUGCAACUGCAAAUAUUUUCUUUCCAGGUUCAUUCUCCUUUUUCUUUAAGUAUGGUUGAUGAAUUCACAGAAAGAACAUUCAAUCCAUUUAGAAAAUUGUUGAAAUGUGUGGCACAAGUUCCUGCAUGUAUCAUUCCUGAAAAAUAUGAUAUGAAAUGUCAGUCUGCACAUGUAUUGGUUAAUUAGAUAAACUAUAAACUAUAUAGACUUGAGUUCAUAAUUUUAUUUGGAAUAUACAAUUGAUUUUUUCAAUUUAUAUUUAUAUAAUAUGGUUGUGAAUUCAUGUUUACUUUUAUUCUUAUAGAUCACAGACUCAUACUAAUUUCUAAUAAUGUGGAAUGAGGGUGGGUUCCCCUUCUUAAUUUUCUUUUUUGCCUUCAUGCAUUAUCCUGCUUUCUACACAUCAUUCUAGGUGUUUUUAAAUCACUAAAUAUGUAAGGUAUCAGACCGCUUGGUCUCUGAUCACAUGCAAAAGAUGACUUAAUAUGAAAAUUCUGAUUAUAAAAUAAAGAAAAUUUGUAAAACAUUAUUUUUGUAAAUGAAUCAUUGUGACUGUAUUUGUCUACUUUUUCAAUUCUAACUUCAUUUAUGGUUAAUUGCUACCAAAUAAGUAUUUACAAAAUAAUCCUCCCUUUUUGGAUGCAAAACUAAAAAGCCCCUUAUGCAUAGAUGUCUUUGUGUUCAUUGCAAAAAUGAUAAAUAAUUUCCAGGGGCAAAAUUAAGGAAAAAUUACUUAGUCCAGCUUCAUAAAAAAUUUGGGCAGCACUUCCCCUCAAAAUAAAGCUUUUUUACCUCAAACCACAUAAACCCAGACCAUAUUAUAGAGAGGAGAUUGCAGAAAAGAAAAUAGAGUUGUGGGGCAGGUUCAUUUAUACAAGACAUGAAACCAUACACCUUCUCUACCCAGUAAAAUGUGUAAAAAGAAUAUAUAACAAGAAGUAAUUGUAACAGGAUACUGUUACGAAGUAUCCCAAACAAAGCUCCCAUAACUCGCAAUUCAUAUGGUCCCAUGUUUAUUUGAUUUGAUUUUUUGUCCCAUACAAGAAUAUAUAUGGCUUACUGGUGGGAUCUUCCACAAGUAUUCAAAAAGGAGGGGUGGUGAAGACCCCAGGGAAUUUACCUACUUUCAAUUGAUUUGUUUUUUGUCCAUACAAGAAUAUAUAUGGUUGAGCGGUAGGGAUGUUGACCAUUAACAAGUUUUCAAACAAGAGUGGGGUGGGGUGACCCCCUAGGGACUUCCCUUUUAUUUCAUUUUAUUUGUAUUAUUGUCCCCUACAAGAAUAUAUAUGGUUUAGGGGUGGGGAUCUGGACCAUUUACAAGGUAAUAGUACAUUCUCAAAUUGAACGGGGUUGGGUGACCCCCAGGAACUUCCAUUUAAUUUCAUUUUAUUAGUUUUAUUGUCCCUUACAAGAAUAUAUAUAGUUUAGGGGUUAGGAUGUUGACCGUUUACUUGUUUUCAAACAAGAGGGGGUGGGGUGACCCCGUAGGGACUUUCCUCUUAUUUCAUUUCAUUUGUUUUAUUGUCCCCUACAAGAAUAUAUAUGGUUUAGGGGUGGGGAUCUGGACCAUUUACAAGGUAAUAGUACUUCUCAAAUUGACGGAUGGGGUGACCCCAGGAACUUCCAUUUAAUUUCAUUUGAUUAGUUUUAUUGUCCCUUCCAAGAAUAUAUAUAGUUUAGGGUUGGGAUGUUGACCGUUUACAAGUUUUCAAACAAGAGGGGGUGGGGUGACCCCUGGGACUUUCCUUUUAUUUCAUUUCAUUUGUUUUUGUUGUCCCUACAAGAAUAUAUAUGGUUUAGGGUCGGGGAUCUGAACCGUUUACAAGAUAAGAGCACAUUCUUAAAUUGAACCGGGUGGAGAUGACCCUCGGGGACUUCCAUUUAAUUUCAUUUGAUUUGUUUUAUCGUCCCAUGCAAGAAUAUAUAUGGUUUAGGGGUGGGGAUCCGGACCGUUUACAAGAUAAUAGUACAUUUUCAAUUGAACGGGAAUGGGGGUGACCCCAGGAAUUUUAUUUUUUCAUUUGAUUAGUUUUAUUGUCCCAUACAAGAAUAUAUGGUUUAGGGGUGGGGAUCUGGACCGUUUACAAGUUAAAAGCAUAUUCUCGAAUGGAAGGGGGUAGGGAUGACCCCCAGGUAAUGAAAAGGUCAAGGUCAACCUUAAAAAGCUUUAAAACACACUGAAAAUCUUUAAAAUAAGGUCAAAAACACAAAAUUCGCUAUAUGGGACAUGACCUUGACCUUUUACCUUUUGACCUUUGUCAAAGUCAUUAUUCCCCAAUGUCAUUGCUGAAGACCCCAUGGGUCUAGGACCUUUGGUUAUAUAGUAUAAGCUGAUUUUGUCGUUUCAGAAACCUAAAUCAGGGGUUAUCCCCUUACAGAAAGGUCAAAUCUCUUCUCAAAUGUAACAAAGUUGCGCCCUAAUGACCCAAACAUUUUCCACUAUUCAAAACCUCUGUAAGUAUAUUGGUUUCUGAGAUUAUCCCAUAACAAGGUGUUAGGUCAAAGGUCAAGGUCAACAUACACAUUUGACCUUGAAGUAUUUUUCAAAGUCACAUAAAUUGAUGAUGAAUGGUGAAGAUCCUAGGUGUUUACGAUUUACGGUUUCUGAGUUUUGGUGGCAAACCGACACCGGUUAAUUUUCAUAGGGGCAUAACCCUACCAAUGAGUCGUUGAAUCUUUUCGAUCCAAAUGUAAUGAAUAAGAUCUAACCAUUUUUAACUCAUGCUGUGGGUAUAACUUCAAAAUAGGUAAUGAUAUUAGACAGGUAUUCCAUAACACUUUUCAGGGGUUACACAACAUUUUGGAUUGGGACGCUUGUCAUAAAAUGAUUUUUAAUAUGAUAUGUUGUCGAAAUGGAAUAUUAAUAUAAGAAUAUUCAGAAAAGAAUAUCUAUUUGUUUGUGGUUUUUAUAUAAAAAAAUAACAAUGUUAUAUUUAUCAGACGAACAUUCUUUCAAAUAUGUCAUCAGUGUUCGUUGAUCCUCAAUAGCUUUUUUGUCUUGUUCUUCCGAUAGUAUUAUGUCCAACCACGGAAUUUUUCAUCUUAUCGUUCUAUGACUAAACAACUAAACUUUCUUCUGCACUCUCAUUCAAAAGAUUCACUUUAGCAUUAAAAAAUAUGGUAAGACGAGGGCUACUGAUAAUUGUAAUUAGAUGUUAAUAAACAGUGGAUACAAAAUUAAGUAAAAACCUUAUAGUCCUAGCGAUAUUAUUUUAAGAACGCAAGAGCAAGAUCAUUCUUUUUUACAUCUGUACUUAAUACAUUUUUCUCAAUUCUAUCCGAUUUUAUCAUAUAUUUAUCGCAGCAAUGAAAGUUCUCCACAUCAUAUUUUCAUACAUCGAGUGUUUUUAAUAGAUUUUGAUUUUUGAAUGGCGUUAUAAAUUAGUACAUAGAAUAAUGGCAUUCAGGAUUGGUAAAUGUUUAUGAAACUUAAAUUGCCAACCAUUCAUUAUAUGUAGACCUCUUUUACAAGAUGUAUUGUACUGCACAAUAAAAGUGCAAUUGUGACAAAUAGUUUGUCAUUAAAAGAAUCUUAAUAACCUUAAAUCAUGUCUGACUAAGCAAGGAAACGUCCCAUCGAUCUUUGAUUACUAUGAUUACGAUGUAAUCAGAAAACGUGCAGGUGUAAGGAAGUUUUAAAUUCAUGUUUAAAAAUCACCUUCUUCAAUAUGUCUAUUACAUACUUAGAGAUGAGCUAACUGAUAAAAAUGCUCAAUAUUUUGAAAAGAAUAGAGAUACACCUCCUGCUAAAGAGAAUUAAGGUUAACCUAUUGUUCAAAUACAUAUCACUUUCUGUGUUCAUGCAAACAAAUUUUAGUUUUUGUGAAAAAAAGUACGAAAAAAGGCUGAUUUAUUUUUUUAUAGUAAACGUGAUUGUUAUUUUUAUUUUAUUUAUAUCUUAUACUUAAUUCAUUUAUAGACGGAUAAUAUCAAUAUGAACGUUUAAAAAGCAUAUUGCAUUUCUGCUAAUACAGAGAUGAUUAUUUUACAAUCAAAAUACUCUCGAGUUUUAAACACCGUCGUUAUAUAAUACAUUUUGUACCUUAGUUUUACCUUGAAUUGAUUUGUAUCAGUUGAAUAUUGGUAAAAGAAAAAUGGCGGUAUGUGUAAUGCCGGACGAAGAUGUUGUAGAUGAGUCACAGAAGAAAUAGGGUUUAUACUCUGGAUUCAUUAAUUUUCGUGGAUUGCUGGAAAUUGCAAAUUUUUGGAUAUUUGAUUUCGUGGAUCGUUGAAAAUUGCAUAUUCUUGGAUAUUUGAUUUCGUGGUUUUGCUAAUCUCUGUAUACAAAGCCUAUUUAAAAUAUGUUAUUGUUUUAACAUUUAAAUUUCAUGGUUCAUAUGUAUCCACAAAACCCACAAAAAUUGUUAUCCAACGAAUAAUAAUGAAUCCACAGUACGUGUAUACUUUUUCUUAGUUUAACUAUUAGUUUUCCUUCAAUCUAUCCGUCACUGCCAAUUGAUAAAUCAUGUAAGCACAACUCCUCAUGCUAAACUUUUGAGCUUUCAGUGAAUGAUCAAUCAAACUUUAAGACGAUAUAAACAACUGUUCGAUAUUUUGUCACAUCGUAUAUUACAUAUAUGUCACUUAGCACGAAAGGUGGUUUGAUUGACAGGUAAUCUUAAUCUGAUAAGUUGAUGCAUUCUAGUGGCAUAUAUGACUAAUGUAAAAUGACAUGUCCUUACUAUUGUUCAUAUAGACGCUCUAUUAUAUAGAUAAAUGAAUACAAAGCAAGUGCAAAAUAUGAUGUAUAGAUAUCGAGAAAAACAUCCUGUCCAGGGAAAGAUAAAAUCUCUUGUUCAUGUAAAAACAUAAACUUUUGUUUAAAAUGCAUGCAAACAAAUAUCAAACAAUAAACCCGAAACUUGCGUUUGAAGAUAAAUCAGUUUGUUUGAGUCCGGGGUAUGAUAGCAUCGUCUGGGAUUUCUAUAUGUAUACUUAUCAACGUUGUCAGUUUAAGAGUUCCUUUACGUUGAAAAUGAAAAACAAUCUACAUUUGAUUUUACGUAGAAUACAAUACAGUGUUUUGCUAUGCGUUGAAAGGUUACACAUACCGGCAUUUUGAUGUGAAAAGAAUAUACAGGUGAAAACUGAUGUUUGUUUUAUCUUACAAAUAAAGUCAUUCCCAAAGAUUCGAAGCAAAAAUCAACACAUGCAUACGUAUUCACUCCGCGUUUCUUUCUUUGUAAGUGUCAAAUGUAGUAGCGGUCAGAAAGCAGGGUCAUUAUAUAUCAUACAUAUAAAUACAAUCGUUAUGAUUAAUAGUUUUUAUUUCCCAAUGAAAGAUAUGAAUUUGUUGAUAUUCUUAAAAACACGUUUUACCCUCUUUAGAGGACACAAAUAGUAAAAUAAUAAAAAUACUGAACUCUGAGAAAAAUUUAAAAACGGAAAGUCCCUGAACAAAUGACAAAAUCAAAAGUUUAACUACAUCGAUCAAUGGUAACUGUCUAAUCCCUGCCUUAUUCAAUAGGCAUUUCUAAUAUAUAAAAUGGGGGUAUUAAAACUAAUUUAAUAACUAGCUAAACCUCUCACAUGUAUGAACGUCGUAUUUAAAUCCAUUAUAUAAACAACAAUUAAUGUCCAACGGAACAAACAGACAGGUUAUACGUACUAUUGCGAAAAUAUGGAUACAGCAUUCAACUUUGUGUUAUAAUCUUAAUCACAAUAAAACAAAUAUGUCGAAAAAGAAAAAGAAAAUGACAUGGGUACAGUGAUUGUUCAAAUACCUGUCAACAUUAUUCUCACAAAUUCUGUAUUAAUAAAAUUCCAGUCUGGUUUUAUCCUUGAUGGGUCUACGGCUAGCCAACUUCUAUGUAUGAUUAUCGAUUUGUACUUGAGCAUUAGACGCAGGGAAAGAGAUAAGGGUAAUUGUUCUAUUAAAUACGUCCAUUAUUCAACCGAGUUUAGCAUAAAGGCUUACUUUAUAAGCAUUGAAAAAAAAAAUGAAUUAAUGGAGGUUUGCUACUUAGGUUUGAAAGCGAUUUGAACCCACGAUGAUAACAAGUUGUCAUUGGUGAAGAAACGAACAACAGCUGGCGUAACCUAAAUGAUCAUAUUUUACUCUUAUUUAUAUAUAUAAAAAAUGACAAUCAAUGAUAUAGAAUGUGAUGUUUAACUUUUUUCUUAAGAAAUUAAAUUUAUAAAGUGGUUGAUAACGAAUAUGAUUCGUCAGAAAAGCUACAUGAUAUUAAGAACAUAUUACAUAGUUUGUCUAAUCAAUGCCUUGAACCCAAACAAAACUAAAAAAAUGAUCUUUUAAAAAGAGCACCAUAAAUCUCAUCACCCACCAGUAUAUAUGAAUAAAAAAUAUCAACCAUUAAAGAAGGUAAGUCUCACAGGAAUUUAGGAAUAAAUGAAGAUGGAAGCUGGAAUUAUUAUGUAAAAAUGAUUAUUGAUAAAUCUAUUCCAUGAUUAGCAUUAUUCAGAAAACUGAAAAGGAAGAAUUUAGAAACUAUAUAUCUAUUUUUUUUUUACGCAAAGUCUUAAAAUAUGAUGAUAUUGUCAGGGAUAAUAGUCCUGUUAAUUUAAAAACAUCUUUGGAAAAUUUGCAACUUUUAGCAGCAAGAAUUGUCCCAGAUAGCCAUAAGAUAACAUAGAGACAGUUGCUGAACGAUGAAACAGGACUGGAAAGUCUCCAGUCUCGACGUAGUAAUCAUAACUUGUUAAAAUGUCACCAAAUUUUUCACAGUGAUUGUCAUACUAAUCUUUUUCUCUUAGGUCCAAAUCAGAGGCUAAAUCUACAUUAAUACAGGACUAAGAGUCUCAAAAUUUACAAACUAAAUCAUGCAGAACAAGUUAUUACCAGAAGUCAUUUCUACCAGCCGUUAGCAACCUUUCAAAUGAUAUUCUAGACGACAAUCAUUUAAAUCAAUCAAAGUCGGGUUUUACGACGUAUCUCAUUCAAAGGCUGUAGAAAAGAACAGAUUUGUUUAGCAAUUUUAAGACAAAGACUUCAGAGUAGUGUUCUUUGUGACAAUCUAUUUUAAAAACAACAUACCGAAUAUACACUGCGUUCCUGUGGUCACGUAUAAACUACUGAUUACUUGUCCAGAAUAUAAUGCAAUUCGGGACAGUCUAUUGUAUUAGUCUUAAGUUCAUCUUAUAUGGAAACAGUUUAAAGUCUGAAGCGAACAACAUGCAAAUUUAAUAAAGUUUGAGUAUAAAUUAAUCCAACCGUUUGGAAAAUUGAACUUGUGUGUUUCUAUAUUUAUUGAUAAUAAAUCGAAUAGACAGCCCGUAAUCGAUUAUGAUCGGACAUUUGUGGUCGUUCUGGUUGAACGUAAAAAUUUACUGUUUUCUUCUUUUUGUUAAUUUUGGGUCUAUCAUGUUUAUGGUAUUUAUAAAGGAAAAUUUCGUAAAAAUACCUACAAAGUUACAUAUAUAUUAUGAAAAAAGUAAUUAUAAUAUGACAGAUUCGGUUUUUUUAAAGUUUAUAAUACUAUUAAAUUGAAACAAUCAACAUUUAUAUUCUUUCCAAAUCCACCAGUUCCUAUUCAGUUCUCCGAAUUACAUAUAAGAAAACUAUGUAUGACCUUUAUCUAUGACUAAUCUAUGUAUGAAAGACACCCAUCUUCGGUAUCCUGAUUGAUCUGAAUAGACAAUACAAAAAAGGCAACAGUAGUAUACAGUAGUAACUCAUAAAUCCAUGGACAAAAAACAAAAUCGGGGUAACAAACUAAAACCGAGGGAAACGCAUUAAAUAUAAGAGGAGAACAACGACACAACACUACAAUGUAACACACACAGAAACGGACCAAGCAUCAGACAAAAUCCCACGAGAAUAACACAUAUAACAUCAAAACCAAAUACAUGAAUUUGGGAUAGACAAGUACCGUGACACGUCUUAUCGCAAUGUUAAUUUACACUCAAAAAUAAGUUAAAAUGUAACACACACAGAAACGAACUAUAAUAUAACAAUGGCCAUAUUCCUGACUUGGUACAGGACAUUUUUACAAUGUUAUCGUUCCUUGAUCAAAGGUAGGUGUCGCUUCGUUACUAUAUUAUGGAGAUGCAGAAAAAAGAGAAUACAUUGAAUGGAAUAAUUUCUAAGGAAAGAGGUUCGAAAGGUAUGUUUGAUUUUUAACUUUACAUCUCGAUAAGAUAUGAAAAAUCAUGUAUUAAUUUUUAUUGCGUGACAAUAACUUGAAAUACUUUAUAAACACACAAGCUUUUAAUUUCAAUAGAAUAUUUAAACAUUUACUGUAAAAGGGAGAUUUUUUUAAGGGAUAUAGUUUGUGUUUUGCGAUCACAGGCAGAAAAAAAGUGAACAUUUUACGCACUUGAAAUCAGUAAGAUAAUUAUGUCGAUAAACAAAGUUAAAGUACAAAUGUUAAUAAUUAGAAAAUGCGGUUAUAACACUGAUUACAAAUAAUUUCAAACUAAAAUAUUAAACUUGAAAGUUCAUCUAACAGUUUUUAUUAUUACUUUAUAUAUAGGCACUUUAUACAAAUAUGUCUGCCUAUAUGAAGUGAUUACUGCAUUUUAUACCUUGUCAAUUGGAUUUCUCAUGAUUGUGAAAUACUUAACGUUUGAAUAUGUAUUAAGUGUCUAGAAAUCAACUAUACGAAGUUAAAAGUAGAUAUGAUUACUUUCUUUCUCCCCGACAAGGACUGAAACCUGUACUUUACAUAACCAAUGUCCGUGUCAUACACUACUCUUUGGACUGUUCCCCAUAUUGUAAGCAUGAUUCAAUUUACUAAAAUCAACGAAUUUUAAUCAAUCAUGCCUAUCCAGUCUCAAUUGUCACAGAAACAGGUCAUGUAAACUAAUGUAUCUGUGUUUAUAAAAGCAAAGUUGAAAUUGUUAUUCAUUACACAAGUGCUUGAAUUAUUUUAUAUUCUAAUAUGACGUGUUUCUUUCGCUUUGUAAACAACACCGUGUGAAAAUUCUCGAUAUAUCUAUACUUAGCGCAGACUCAGAAAUAUACAUAAUGAAGGAUGUUACAAUAUACCUCCCACGUAAAUCCACAUGUAUUUGAACCUAUUUGUAAACGCAUUGCCGAUUUUAUUGAAUUAGAAAUUGUAAAAAAACAAAAGACAAAAGAACUUUUAUUCUUAUUCGGAUGCAUUAUAAAAAGAAUUAGUAUACUGCAACUAGUUGUGUUUAUUUCCUAAAUAUAGUAAAACAGCUAUAUUUUGUGCAAUGUCAUUUUCAUCAUGGAACACUUUCUCCACAACCCGGGGUUCAUUAAGGGAUGGAAAUAAGCUUGAUAUUUAUGUUACGAUUUUAAAAGCUAUCAAUCAUAUACUAACUGAAGUUGCAGUAUAAAAAAAUAUAUAUUUUUUUGUAACCAUCGAAGUUCGUAUAAUAUUGUAUUAAAAUGGAAUUGAGGUAGGUUUUGUUUUAUUUUCUAUUCUAUUGCAUGAUUCGCAUAUUAACUGAUUUCAGCGAGUCAACAUGGCAGCUCCUUCGUUACGAAAUGUCAAUUUUGGUUUUGACGGUAGCGUACGAGGAAACAUGUAAAUUAAAAAUCGCAAAUAUUGGGUUUGAGAAUUAAACAUAUUUUUUCUAGCGGUUAUAAACGAAAUAAUCAAUGCAAGCUAAAGAUUUCUGAGAAUAUUUGAGUUUUAUCUAACAAGGAGUAAAAAAGAACAGCUACACACACGGCAUACCCAUCCUCGAUUCAGUAUUUGAAUGAACUUAUUUGUCCUAUUAGAAUCGAAAUAAGUCAUGGAAGCCAUAGAUUUGUUGUAAAUUUACACAGGCCUGGGCCGUAAUAUCGAAAUUUAUCCUGAGCGUUUGCGAGGGAUAAAAUUAACGAAUAUCACGGCCCAGGCCAUGUGUAAAUUUACAACAAAUCUAUGGCUUCCAUGAAUUAUUUCUUAAAUAUUGCCUAGAUUUUUGCAAAGUAUGUGCGCCGUUCUUAAAUUGUUAACGUUAAAUGUUGUUUUGUUCGGAUUUGCCAAAGUAACUGACAUUCAAACGUGUUUACUGCAUAUAUUUUUGUGUGAUAUUUGUUCAUGAUUUUCUAAAUAUCACACUUACAAAGUAUUGUGAUUUACUCAUGACAAAUAAAUUUUACAAAAAUUAAAUCGAUUUUUGAAAAGCUUUUCAGAAACUCGUUACAAUUGAUCCCUUUAUGUGCACGUAUCUUUGCAAGAAAAAUUAUUACAUCAUAAGAUAAAAAAUGUUUGGUUUGUUACUGAUUUUUUAACUGUUUUGAUCACCGGAGCGAUUUUUAGCUAAUGUAAACUCAAUAUAGGUAUUUUAGAAACAAAUGAAGCAGUUGUUCUGUUAUUCAUUUUGUGGCAAUAUUUGGAAACAGACUAAAAUGCAAUAUCUUUGAUAUCAUCAUGUAUAUAAUCUUGACGUCACAAAUCUACGCACUGACAUUUGUUUAAGUUAUGACUUAGUAAGUACACUUUAAAUAUAUGCCUUGAUAAUUUCAUGAAAUGUUUUUAAAAGAGUAUAUAUUUCAUAUCAAAAGUUACAGUCUUGUUUGGUAUAUAUGUCAGAACGUGUUCUUACUUUUGCUCCCAAUUACUGAGCAUUACAGGGUUAUGGUAUCACUGAAGAAAAAGUAAUUGUUGAAAUGCGCAUCUGGUGUGGAAUAGUGGUAUACGUAAUAUUAUAAAUUGACACAGACCGCCAUAUAGUCAGUAGGGCUAAAAGAUGCGUCAAACACCAAACAAUCAAUCAACAAAUAAAACUACAAAAUCAUCAUAAAACUAAAGUCAAUAGGUCAAAUGGUUAUAAAAAGGUAAAAGUUUUCAAAGUCUGUCUCUAUUUCUCAAAUUGAAAAUGUAAAGCAGGUCCGUGAAAGGAGAUACCAACUAUGUAACUGCUAAUUGAUUAUUAGUAUAUUUUGCCUUUAAAGAGUUUUAUGGUUGAUGUGACAUAUUUAGAGGUAGCCUGAUAAUUUUUCUUGUUAAGUUGAUUGGAAAAUUCAUUCUGGUAAUGAUAAGGUCGUUGAACAAAUCCAUAGCUUGUUUCUAUUGUUAUUCAUUCUUUCCCCUUUACCCCUGUGUACAUUUAACUGUCGCAAAUACAAUGAUAUGUAGAAAGAAGAGGAUGUGGUAUGAGUGCGUAUGAGACAACUCAGUGUUUAACAAUACAAACAGGAAAACCAACAUUCUAAUUUAAAUGAAAAAGAGAAGAGAAGCACGUCAACAAACGACAACAACGGAACAACAUGUUUAUUAAUUGAUCUGUGUUUGUACAUUCAAACUAUAAAUUUCACUGAGUUUUUGUCACUGCCUUGUAUUUCAGAAUGAAGAUGAUGUACUAUAUCGUAGCAGCUUGUCUACUUGUCAUCACAGUUUCAAAUGCCAUGGUAAUAUCAUGUCCCAGCGAUUGUUCCUGCUACACAAAAAGCUUUCGGGUUCAUGUUGAUUGCUAUAUGAGAGGACUGACUGGUAUUCCACGAAACUUUCCAAAUGACUCAUACUACAUGUAAUAUGAAGUUUUUUCUCCUUUAUUUACCAGUAAUUGUUUUUGAGUAAUAUUUCAAUACUCAUGAAUUGAUAAUCAUUUGUAAAAACACUAAGUAGUGGGAGAGAAAAAGAUAUACAACACCAUGACAUAUAGAAACAGUCGUCGUCAAAAUGCUUAACAGAAAAGAUAUGUAAAAGGAGUUUUGGAAUAAAAAUAAUAAAAUUAACGGUACCAAUUUUCUUGCACCAGAUGCGCAUUUCGACAAUACAUGUCUCUUCAGUGAUGCUCGUUGCCAAAAUAUUUGAAAUCCAAAGCUUAUAUAAAAGAUGAAGAGCUAUAAUCCAAAAGGUCCAAAAAGUAUAGCCAAAUCCGUGAAAGGAACCAGAGCUUUGCAUGAGGGAGAUACAUUCCUUAAUUUAUAAUAAUUUCUAUCAUUUUGUAACAGUAAAUUUUAAUAACACAAGCAAUCCGUAUUUUCAUGCCAGUACCGAAGUACUGGCUACUGGGGUGGUGAUACCCUCGGGGACUAUUAGUCCACCAGCAGAGGCAUCGACCCAGUGGUAGUAAUAAAAUUAACAGACAAACGUAAAGUUGCAACAAGACUGUUACAGUUCUAUUUAUUUGUUUUUAUUGCUUUUUACAAUACAAUAUUUGAUUUUUACCCCUGUCAACAAAUGACAUUUAUAAACGUCUCCUACCGAUGAGUUGUUCUACUCCGCAAUACAAAUGUCAAAUGCAUUUGUAUAUCAAAUAAUUGACUAUGCGUAAAAUACACUAACAAAAAUGCCGAUCUUCAAGAAAAAUUCAAAACGGAAAAUCUCAUAUCAAAUGGCAAAAUCAAACAUGCUAAAUUAAUGAAAACAACUAUAGUCAUGACUUCAAAAAUUCCCUUAUAUAAAGAAAAGGUUUAUUUAACCUGAUUUUUUAAUUAUCUAAACCUCUCACCCGUAUGACAAUCUCAUUGUUAAUCUUACUAGGACAGUGGUAAUCUAUUGAUGGCUACAUUAUCACCCUUUAUUACUUGCAAAGUUAAAAACAUAUGUUAAUUGCCUCUUUAACCAAUGAAAAUAACUGAAUAUACAUUGAGAAUACCUGUUUAAUGUCUUAAGGUGUUACAAUGUAGCUUUAUAUGUACGGGGCUACGGAACAGAUGAUGAGCGACCUUCAAUGAGCUAUUACCCAUAUUUUGACUAUUUUAUUUAUUGUGUCUGUUUAGUUUACGCAUCAUUGUAAAUAUAACGGAAUUUGAUGAGACUGUCAUCAAAGUGAGAGGGUAGCGCCCAUAAAACCAGUUUAAACCAAUUUUCUAAAUUUGAAAAUGGCUGUACAAGUCAGGAAUAUGACAGUUGUCCAUCGUUUGAUGCGUUUUGUUUUUCGAUUUGCCAUGUGAUUAUGACUUUCCGAAUUGAUUUUCCUCUAAGUUCAGUAUUUUUGUGAUUUUACUUUUUACUCCUGUUUCGAACCGAGUACAAAUACAGGUACUAAACAGUUUUUGUGUUUAUUUUGUAAUAAAUUGUGUACAUUGUUUUUACUUUGAAAGAAACAAAAUCACAUUUAUUGCAUUUAUUUUCGAUUUAAACCCUUUGAGGCCGCUUAAUAAUAUAAAAAAAAAAAUGAUGACCAGCACGCCGAAAAUAAUAUCGCAUGGUCAGCAAUAAUAUAUAACUUAAAGUUGGUAAUUAUUCAUUAUAACUUAACAACUUAUUCAAACAGUAAUGAGAAACAAAAUAAUAGUGUCCGGUAAAGACAAAAGUGUUUGAUUUGUUCAACGCUAUAUUCACAGAUUGUUGAUUUUGUUGCAUGGUUGAUUCUGUGAUUAACACAUUCAAGCUUUGAACUUUGACACUUUAAAAUAUACUUUUAAGUAAACAGCUAAAUAAUAGUGAGUGUCUAAAUGCAUCAUGUAAAAUACGCUGCAAUAGUUUCUAUAAUACAGACGAAUUGCCAAUCUAUCGUUACAGAUCAUUGGACUACAAUAAAAUAAUUGCAAUACAGCAAGGGGCGUUUAAAGACCUACCAGAACUAGAAUAUAUGUAUGUAUACAGUUUGACUGCAAUUUCGUUCGGAAGCCUUUUUAAAAAGAAUCGUAUAAUAGGGAUACACAACAUCCACGCGUUUCAAACUCAAUCUAAAUUCCGGUAGCAAAAUAUCUUAUUUGGAAGACUACAUAUACAUACUAUUAGUAUUGUAUUGCAAUUAUAUUACACAAUAUUGAUUACAUGAUGCUAGUAUUACUAGACUUGCAGUUUUAUUACAUUAAUCCGGCACUAAUUUAGUGUUUAGGCAGUUUUUGCCAUAUACUAUUGAUAACAUUUCGCGACGUCGCUUUAAAAGAAGUCAUAUUUCGCGGAAUAUUCACUGGCGUCAUUAAUUUCGUUUCGCGAAUUUAAAAAAGUACCUGCUAAAUAAAGUGGCCUUUUUAAAAGACGAGAAAUCCGCCGAAAACAGUGAGAUUAAAGGAAUACUUGAGAUGAACAAAAAAUAAAUCAAAUACAAUUUUGCAUAACGAAAUUGAAGAAAUAGUGAUAGACACAGAAGAGAGUAUUGACAGUAUAACAUGGAAAGACGGAAGAAGAAUUGUGGAACUUUAAUUUUAGUCUGGUACUGAAUAACUGUCAAAACUGCACGGCCCAGCUGAAUCUGCUCAACGUAGAGAAAGAAAAAUUGCAAGGAAUCGGGUCUAUCUUACUAUUCGUUGCUUAAAAUGUACAUGCUGAAAAACAUUUUACCAAUAAACACAAUUCGGAACAAAACGACCUGCAAUAGCUAAUUAUGAUAUUGGUACUGCUUAACGUCCAGGCGCAAAUAUUUAAUUCACAUUUAUGACAUCCAAAUGUUUUUUAAUGAAACUUAAAGAAAUGAGAAAAACGUAUGAACCUGUGAUUAAUGAGAAAAAAUUAACAAAAUCUUACCGGCGUAGGGUGGCCAAUCGGUCAGGUGUUGAAAUCCAUACACAAAAAGUAUUAUAGGCGUUGUUGUACAGCUGUGCAUAUUUUCAUAACGAGAACAGUUAUUUUAAUUAUUGAUAAUGAAUUCGAAGUAAAUAAUACUAUCUUGAAUUGAAAAACAUCAGAAUCAAAAUAAUUAAGUUUGUGUCUUUAUUUUUCUUUUCUUGUUAAGCAUUUGCAGCCUCCAAAUUUUACGGAGAAUUGUCAUUGUAAGCAAAUUUAUCAGACUAUCAAUGAAAUAACAAAACGACUUCAUGUGCGAGACCUCAUUGGUGGACAAGUCGUAUAACACCCCUAUUCGUAAAUAAAAUAAAAAUAAAGAGAGUGUCUCAUCUGUUUGGACUUGCCGAUUCUAAUUGAUAUUUAAAAACACAUAAUAAUGUAUUGUGUAUGUAGAAAAACUGUCAAUAAUAGUUCGUUAAAAAGAUUUCAAAAAAAUAUAUUGGUGUCGUUUUUGGUUUGAAUUUAAGCAAAAUAGUACCAAUAGAUGCAGAAUUGUCACACGUAGUUGUUAAUUGGUUGUAUUUUUUUGUAUAUGAAACAAAUGUUAUAGACCAAAACAAGAAAACCCCGUACAUGUACAUGCUGUUAAAAGGGCUUGUAAUUAAAUGUGUCUUUUGAUUGUUCAUCAUAUUUGUAUUUUGUUUAUGUUUUGUACUAAAUCAGCCGUAAGUUUCCCGUUGAUGUUUUGCAUUUGUCAUGUAGGGGCCGCUUUCAUAGCUUACUACAUGUAUGUGGUAUGGGUUUUACUCAUUCAGCAGUCAGGGCCGUAGCGUAAUGGAGGCAACUGAGGCAAAUGCCUCACUUUUAAAACGACGACCAAACUUUAGAAGUUCAUUUUUUUCAAUUAUGUAUUUUACAUUAUCAAUUCGAGUUUCGAGUUUAAAUAAUCACCGUCACACAAAUACAGUGUAUCCAAUCUGCAGCACGUGCAGCUUUUACAUAGCGGUGACGGUAAAAAAAGUGUUCCGAAUACAAAUCAAAAUACAAAAAAUCAAAAAAUCUAAUGUCGUUACAACUGGUAAGACGAGUUCUUUAAAGAGAAAAAAAAGUGAACAGGGUAUCAUGAGUAUUAACACCGCUUAUAAGUAUGCUGGCUUAUUCUUGUUAUUUUGAAUCGAUAACGCUAUAGUUAACCAAUGUCUACACUUUCAACUCACUGAACAACAAAUGCUAAUCGAUAAAAAUAUUCAUUGACAAAAUUUAUAAUUAUUAUAUUAAUUUAAACAAAGUCAUGAAGCGACUUUUCUAUGGAAGUUUUACUGUAUAAGGCAAUUCAUAUUUUUUAUUUAUUUUUAAUAAAGUAUAAAUUAUAUAUUUUGGUAAUUGUUUGAAAAUAUUUUUUUCGUGUUUCUUUUUCUGAUUAUAUCAGCAUGUUGUUGUAUGCUAGCCGUGUUCCAUUGAUUCUAGUGCGGUAGGCCGUGGGUUCGAACCCCGGUAGGUCGAACCAAUGACUUGAAAAUUGGUAGAAUAAUGUGUCAAGAACUCUACGUAGGUGACAUGUUUUCCAGCGAAUGUUUACAGGGCUGAUUUCAAUAUCGUAGCCCCCCCCCCAAGGUUGACUGGGAAUAGAAAUAUGGUCACUUGGUCUUCUCCCGACCGGUCGUAAAACCUGCCGAAGUAGGCGCCGUUUGGCUUGUGGAUGUAUCAAGUUCGCAGUCACGUCCGUCAGAAUGGGACGUUAAUCCGAUGCCUCGUGUAAAGAGAGUGCCACGCUCUUUGUACGUUAAGAGCCCUUGCAACAACUCUUUGAGGGGUCCGCAGGUGGCCUGUUGCAAGGCAAAAUUUCUGUUCUAUCCAAUAUACACUCAUUUUCCGGUGAGUUCAAAUCUGACCAUCACCCCAGAUGGCCUUAUGUGAUAACCUACCUAUUGUAUUUAUUGUGAAUUUGUUCUCGCCUGAAAUGCAUGAAAUAUUUGCCACUGGACGUUAAGCAACCAACAAUCAAUCAAUUAAUAUCGUAGCAGCUACAUAGUUGCUAUCAAUAUCUAUGUAGAAGCUAGUCUAUAGCUACACGUUUAAUAGUCAAAAUCUACGUAGCACUACGCAGCAGCUACGAUAUUCAACACAACCCUGGUAACUUGUGAUAUUAGUACGUCAAAAAUAUGGUUAAGUAACAAUGUUGGUCCAGUCUUCUCUGUAUACGCCGUAAAAAAGGCUAUGCAACUUAUCUAUUGAUAAAGACAUCGUUCAAUAUUAUUCUCUUAUACCGGCUGCUGUACUUCCUAUGAAAUAUUAUAUUACAACUUCUUUUUCGGUCGAUUGAGGCAAUAAUGGCAUGAGUUAAAUUGCACGAAACAGCUCUUAUUAUAAAACAAGAAGUACUGCUUAUAAUUCAAAUUUCGGAAAGAUGAUUAUCUUUUGAAUGUUAAAAAAAAAUCAAAGGAUACGGUAACGGUUUUGUCAUUGUUGAAGGUUAUACUGUUGUCAAUUUAUGGUAUCGCCUCACUUAAUUUAUAGUUGGUUCACAUUUUGUCAUGUCAAUAAUGUUGUCUGAUUCCUCUUACAGUAUACAUGAAGCAAUUUAGAACUAAUGUAGGACGGCGAUGCACCUUUAUACUUCUAUCAGAUUUUGUUUUUUGCCGUACAUCUGACAAAGCAAUCUGCUAGAAUCCUUUUUUAUAGUCUUUUGUUUUUAUCAUGAAAAGGUUCCUGUCCAAAUUUCGUUUCGUAAAUGUUUAACACAAAUGUUUUUCCAUUUUAUGAUUAACCAUCUUAUAAAUUUUUAUGAUAAGUAUCAACGCUUUGAAAAACACCUGCAUAUACUUGACAGCGAACUCGUGUACGGCGGGAAUGAUUACACCACGUUGUUGCGAUUAAAACUUAAUCUAACGUAAUUUAGCGCCAUACUGACAGACGUCGUAAAACAUUAAGGUAUAUGGCUAUUCUUGAAAAAACAAGCACAUGGACCCCAUUUUUUUUUCUUUUGCAAUCAAUCAAGUACUGUUUCAAGAACACUCCGCCAAAAUUUCAGGAAAAAAUCAACGAUCAAAUUUUUUCUGCACUUUCGAAAAGACGCAAAAAUAUGGUCAAUUUCUUUAUUUCGGAUAUAGCAUUCUAAAUCCGGAACAUGAUGAUUUGAUUUAACCUUAAACUUGUUUCAACAUGUUGAUGCCAUGGAUCAAGGGAAUAUUUUACAAAAAACCCGGUUAAGUUAUGACUUUUCGUUCAAAAGUAUUGUUACUUUCUUUAAAGUCAUAAUUUAUGAAAUUUCAGGAUUUUCUUCCAAAUAUGCAAAUUUCGAACCAAAUUUUCUCAAAAAGUAAGUCAUGAAGGUACUUUUUUCUUUGCAUAUUUGAAAAGUACACAUUAAAAUUUUACCUUCUAAAAAAAAUUAAAGAAAAAAUCAACGAGGGAUCUCUACUGUAUCGUAUGCCCUUAAAUCAAAUCUAUCACAUGAUAAUGCUUCAUUUAUGUACUGUUCGAUUUCAAUCUCUUUGUAGUCUCUUUCUAUAAAGUUAUUUGUUGUUCUAAUGUAUCUGAUAACUUCGCUCUUGAGAAAACAUGCAAAUGCAUGUGGACUGUGACAGCUUUUACGAUGUAAUACGUUAUAUUACAAAAAUACUGAACUCCGAUGAAAAUUUAAAACGGAAUGAUCCCUAAUCAAAUGGCAAAGUCAAAAGCUGAAACACAUUACACGAAUAGAUAACAACUUUCUUAUUCCUGACUUGGUACAGGCAUUUUCUGAUGAAGAAAAUGGUGGAUUGAACCUGGUUUUAUAGCGCUUAACCUCUCAUUUGUACGACAGUUGCAUCAAAUUCCGUUAUAUUUACAACGAUGUAUAAUUCGCUAGGUCACAUUCGUAAAAAGGGAACGGGAUUAUAGUUACGAUAUGAGGAACAUAUCCGAUAUCAUCUGUAUAAAGGAUAUUCCAUAACGGUAAACCAUGAGGUGAUGAUUUCAACAACACCAUUUGGAACUCCUGUUUUAAAAAUAAAAAUGUCUCAAUUGGGAAGAUGAAAUCACCCAUUUUGUCGUAAAGUAUUCGACCGAUCCUCAUAGUCAAUUUCUACAUAUAAGUCCUAAUCUAAUGGCAAAACUAAAAGCCCAUACACAUCAAACGAAUGAAUAACAACUGUUAUAAUACAUUUUCUUACGUAGAAAAUGGUGAAUUAAACCUGGUUUCAUAGCCCUUAACCUCUCACAUCGUUGUAAAUAUAACAGAAUUUGAUGAGACUGUGGUAUACGUGAGAGUUUUAGCGCUAUAAAACCAGGUUUGAUCCACCAUUUUCUACAUUUGAAAAUGCCUGUAUUAAGUCAGGUAUAUGACAAUUGUUUUCCAUUCGUUUGAUGUGUUUUGUCGUACUAAAUUAUAAUUCUGGUACUUUUGGAUAAAUAUAUUGUCAUUUGAUUUUGCAAUGUACAAUGUAAUUAGGGACUUUCCGAUUAAAUUUCCCCCGGAGUUCAGUAUUUUUGUGAUUUUACUUUUUAUAUGCAGCCGCAUCACAAUCCAUUAUAUUGACAACGAAGCGUGAACAAAGCAAACAUAUAUAAUAGGGAUACAUCAGUCAACAAUGUGUUAUAAUCUUAAUCACAAUAAAAACAAACAAGUAUUACACAUAAAAGCACAAAAGGCACAUAUCAAAUUCAACAACCUCAUUCAUUGCUUUCUUAUUGUUGUAUUGUAUUCAUGAAGUAUGCUUAAUCUACCUAUAAAGGAUUGAAACAUUUGAAGUACUGGGACCGAAUGGUUAUUUAAACAUUAACUCUGGCGUAGAAUCGCGCUUUUGACAUCAGAAUGUAAACAUCAUGCAGGAAGAGAUGUAAGAUAUAUGUAUCGUUCAAAGAAAAGAAAAUAGUCUAUUAUAGUUAAUUUAGGUACAAUAUAUAUCAUCUGCAAUAUGUAAAUUAUAAUUUUACUUUGUCCUUCUUGACUGUUGUCCAUAUGCUUAUUUUGUUUUUUCAAAUUUUAUAUUUGAGCACGACGUGCGUUCCGUCUACAAAAGACUCAUCAGGGACGCUCACAUAAAAAAAUGUUAAAAAGGCAAAUAAAACAUACGUGCUCAUAUAACGUGAAGAUUCAAUAUACAUAUGUGUAGAAUAUAUUUCUCUAGAACAAAAUAAUCAUAUUCUUUUAUAUAUAUGCUCUUCAACUUUGUACUUUUUGGCUUUAUAACUAUUAUGAUUUGAGCUCACUGAUGUGUCUUAUUUAGACACAACGCGCGUCUGGCGUACUAAAUCAUAAUCCUGGUACCUUUGAUAGCUAUUAUAUAACUCCAAGUGAGAAAAAAAUAGUUUAAAAACAAUGUAUAAUACGGCUGACAAGCCAUUAGAUGUAAAAAAAAAAACCAGAAUUUACGAUGAAAUAAAAUACAUAGAUAUCUAUGUAAAGGCAACAGUAGCAAACCGCUGUUCAAUAGUAUAAUUUGAUUGAGAAAAAAUAAAUCCCGUUUACAAACUAAAAACAAGGGAAACCGAUCUUUUUUAUAAGAGGAAAACAACGGAAGAACAGAAACACUGAUGAACAACAAAAACAAACGCCAAUGCAACAUACAUAGAAACGAACUGUUUGAUAACAACUGCCUUUUUCUGACUCCUUACAGGACAUUUUAAGGUUGCACGAGUAAAGACAAUUCUUUUUUAAGAUCUAACCUUAAUGAUGUAGUCGAUGAAUAAGCUGUUUAAAAGACUCCAUGUGCUUGUAUUCGAGAUAUAAGCCACUGAAAAUUUGGCGGGACUUGAUUUUCUCUAGAGUUUAAUGAAUUAAUAAUAGCACCGUUCUCUUUCAAAAACUACCAGAAAUAACAGAGAUUGCAUUUAAACCUCUAUGAACUUAACUAAUGGAAAGAAAUAGGGUUAGCUGGUCAAUUUUUAAAUGGCACUAUAUGGAUGAAAGAAUAGGAUUCCAAAUAUCUGACAAACAUUUAUAAACAAGAGGAGCGAACUCUCUUCAGUUAUUUUCAACAAUUACAAACAACGAUCUUUUACAAAUUGAGCAUUUAUUGAAAGUUUUGAAGAUAGCGAUUCAUCAAUACAAAUACGUUACGUGAAUCCAAUGAAAUAAUUGGUGACAGUUAAAUGCAUGGUCAUUUGAUCUUUUGUGAAGAAUUUUGCCAUUUGCAAUCACACCACAAUUUCUUUCGUAUAUAGUAACACGUAUUUUACAUGUAGAUUUAGCUAACGGUUGGUUGAUUAAGAAAAUAACACAAUGAUGACUAAUGUACCUUUUUUUGAUAUGUUUACCUUUAGUUCAAUGUGUUUAAGCUUUUGAUUUUGCCAUUUGAUUGGGGACCUUCCGUUAAAAUGUUCUUAAAGUUCGUUUUUUUUUGUUAAUGUUUACAUUUGUUGGUAAUAUUUUAAAUCAUGACUUUAAUUACUGCUUUAUCAUGCAAUGAUUACAAUGAGAACUCGUAAUUUCUAUUUGUUAAAGUUAGUUGAUCAUGAUUUAUUUUAAGCAGUUUUUUAUAAUAUGAACAUUUGUUGAUACGGUUCAUAAGUGUUUCUAGUUUUUUAUAAAGUCAAUCUUUAAAGACCCAAAUGUUGCAAAACACUUAUCCUACCUCCAUGACAAAUAUGUUGUUGUCCCCGCAGAUAAAGCCCCAAACAACAUCGUUUGUGUGUGUGAAACUCAGUACAUUAACUGCUUGAUGAACGAAAUAUGUAUUGACAGUUCACUUGGAAACUCAACAUAUACCCUCACGACACUUCCCAAAGAGGAAAUCCUGGAUAAUCAUAGGUCUGUUCUAUGUUCCUUCGGAAUUUUAACCAAAGAUGAAGAACUUGAUCUUCCAUCAUUGUAUUGGAUAGAUAGCGUAAGUGUCCUUACAAAUAACGGUGUAUUGAUGGGUCUUCCAAGUGCUCCACGAAACCUCUUUCUAGAUUAAUAACAUACAUUUUGUCAGCAAUCAAAGACGGGCUUCAAAGUUAUUGUAAAACUGCCUAUUCUAGAGGUGGCGUGAAUCAAAUGUGGAUACCUAAAAAUUCCAAAGAUCUUUUAGAGUACAUAACAUCUAACUCUCUUUCAUCUUGCAAUAGUAUAAAAACAUUUGACUUUUCUACACUUUACACAAGUAUUCCACAUUCCAAACUAAAAGACAAAUUGAAAGAGUUGGUAUUGCUUUGUUUCAUAAAAAAGAAUGGCCAACGUAUAUACAAGUAUCUUGUCUUAAGGAGGGAUAAAUCCUACUUUGUAAAGGAUAACUCUUGAUUCAAACAAAAAAUUCUCUGAAACUUACAUUAUCAAGAUGUUUGAUUUUUUUAUUGACAACAUAUUUGUUACGUUCGGAGGACGUGUUUCAACAGACUGUCGGCAUUCCAAUGGGAAUUAAUUGUGCCCCUCUUCUUGCAGACUGGUUUCUUUCUUAUUAUGAGGUUGACUUCAUACAGGAACUUCUGAGGAAGAAAGAUAAAAAGAAAGCAAUAUCCUUCAAAUCUACUUUCAGCUAAAUAGAUGACGUUCUUUCACUAAAUAAUUCAAAAUUUGGUGCCUAUAUUGAACGCAUGUAUCUUACCGAACUAAAGAUAAAUAAUACAACAGACACAAUUUAGUUGGCCUAAUAUCUUGACCCACAUCUAGAAAUUGACAAUGAGGGUCUGUUGAAAACAAAACUUUACGACAAGAGGGAUAAUUUUAGCCUUGUGAACUUUCUAUUUCUAAGUAGCAAUAUUCCAGCAGCACCUGAAUACGGGAUAUAUGUCUUCCUAUUGAUACGAUAUUCCCGUGCUUGCAUUUCCUAUAAUGAUUUUCUUGAUAGAGGGUUGCUGCUCACAAAGAAUCUAUUAAAGUAAGAGUUCCAAAUGGUGAAGUUGAAAUCAUCACUUCGUAAAUUCUACGGACGCCAUCACGAGUUGGUUGACCGUUAUAGAAUAACCGUUUCACAAAUGAUAUAGGAUAUGUUCUUUAUGUCGUAUCAACUAUCCUCUUCCCUUUUAUGAAUGUGAUCUACCUAAUUAUACUAUUUACCGGAUGUGUUAUAACAUAAGCAACACGACGGGUGCCUCAUCUGGAGCAGGACCUGCUUACCCUUCCGGAGCACCUGAAAUCACCUCUAGUUUUUGGUGGGGUUCGUGUUGCUUGUUCUUUGUUUUCUAUGUUGAGUUAUGUGUCCUUUUGUUUGUUUGUCUUUUUCAUUUUAAGCCAGGCGUUGUCAGUUUAUUUUCGAUUUAUGAGAUUGACUGUCCUCUGGUAUAUUUCGUUCCUCUUUUCUAUAGAUUAUACCGUUGGUUUUCCUGUUUGAAUGGUUUUACACUUGUCAUUUGGGGCCCUUUCAAGCUUGCUGUUCGGUGUGACCGAAGACUGUUCUGUGUUGAAGGCUGUACUUUGACCUACAUGUACUAGUAUAAUGGUUUACUUUUACAAAUUGUGACUUGGAUAGAGAGCUGUAUCAUUUGUACUCAUACCACAUAUUCUUAUAUCUAUAUAAAAUGUCCAUUUGGCACCAAUCAUUCAGUUUAUAUUGGAUGUGCUUAUUUUGUGCGGUUUAUAUAUGUUAGAGGCAAUAAGUGAAAUUAGACAUCAAUCUUAAAUCCUAGGCAACAAGCUAACGCCUAGGCAAUAAGUCUAUUGCCUACAUAAUGUUAGAUAUUAGUAUUAAAUCAUAGAUUCGCAAAAAAAUAAAAAAAUGAUAUUAUGUUCAUCCUAAAUAAAUAAACAUAUUCCCAAAAUUUUAAAGGUUUAUUCGUCUAGAUAAGUGAAUCUUGAAAACUAAUGAAUAUCUAAUUACCACAAAGUCCUAGUACCCAGCAUGACAUGUCCGUUUAUCAGUGUUAAAAUAAGCUGAUGGAUGUUCUACCCGACCAAAUAAUGAAAGAAGCCUACAUAGUGUCAAAGAUCAUCAAAUGAAGUAAUGCUUUACUAAGAUUGAUAAGAAUAUUUCAAAAAAAUAAUUUACAAGACAUCUUUAUUUUUUAGAGGUUUAAGUAUUCAGCAUACAAUACUGAAGUAAGGUUAAAAAGCUGUAAAUGACAUAAGAUCGUAUUUUGUUUAGCUCGUCAUUUAAUUUACAUGUUUGGAACCGAGAUACAGUAUCAAGUAUUAUAUAGGAAUUAUGCUAUACUAAUGUUAUAGUCGUCUCAAUAAAGUGAAAAAAAGUUCGGCGAUACUAUUGUUGAGGAAUUAUAAACUGAGAUUUAUCUCUUUUGAAAAAGUUGUUUUAAAUGUUUUAUUCUAACGUUUAUUAUAGCUUUUUUUUUUUUUUUUUACCUAAUUAAUAGCUUGACCAACGUUCAAAAACUUGUCUUCUUGUAAUCAGCAUGGCUUAAUACCUGUAAUUACCGGGAUAUUGUAAAAUUGACAUAUUCGGGUAUUCGAACGGUCGACUAACCAGUUUAAUCAGUUCGUCCCGUUUAUACCUUCACAUAUGUGACUUCAUUUUCAAUCUAGAAAAGAUAUAUUUAUGGUAUAUUUCAAAAUGAAUGCCGUUUUUUUUAUAAUUGUUCAUUCAUACUAAAUGUGAAAUAAGAAUAUCAAUUAGUAAAUUUCGGACUAUACAAAUGCAGAAUAUACUGUGAAGGUUUGCUGUCGUCUAACGAGAUAAGAGACCUAAAUAAAGCCCUGUAAUAUAAAAAAACAAAACAAACGAAAAAAAUAUGUGAGUAGAAGUUAACUGGAUCAGCAAAAUUACCAACCUUUGAUCUCGAGUGUAUUGGUAAUAAAUUUAUGUGAUUUUAUAGUAUAACUCCUUACAUUAUCCAAAUGAUAUCAAAUAAUCUAUAAUAUUUCAUAAAAUUAACUCUUGCGACCUCACUAAAAUCUGAGACUAUGUGUUAUAGUAGUCUCAGCUAAAAUCUAAUGCCAAACGCUUGAAGUAAAAAUGUAAUACAGGUACACCUUUCAUUUGAUCAUGGCUUUCAAAUGGCUAAAUUUAAGUGUUCCUGUACUCAUUGUGCCUAUUUAGGACAAUUCAAAUGCUUUUGUAAAACUAGUUCUAUUUUCCCUUUUUUAAAAACAUAGAUAAAUGAUUAGAGUGUACAUGAUAUCAUUUCAUUCCGAAAACUUAAUUUAAUUUCCAGACUUUAACCGGUUCAAUUAUGAGUUUAGUAACUUAUUUGACUUCAAAUAAAAUAUUACCAACAGAUGUAAUUAAAUAAUUCCACGGCGAUUCACUGGAAUUUGUCAACACCUUGAAAAUGUAUUUUAAAUUUGUGUAUUAAACGCUACAUCCUGUCUCAUAAUCCACUCAUCUGAAUAGACAGUCAGACCUGGCACGGUGUGCCCUAGAGGCAAAGCUAAUUACCGAUCUGCAAAUAACAUACAUUUUUACAGGCAUUUCACAAGUAUUGUGAUGUGAAUAGUACACACAUCGCAUAAACCUAGUCAUAGCGUAGAUAGUAAAAGGUCAAUAAGCGUAAACCUAUAUAUUGUCUUUACAGUUUAAGUUAUAUACUUUAAUUUAUUCACUUUAACAGUCUGAAAAAGCAUAUAUUAAAGCAAAAAAAUAAUAAUAAUAAUUUCUUGUGCUGUCUACAAAAAUAAAUCGAAAUAUCCAUAGUAAAUAUAGAAAAUUUAUCUAAUGAAUGUGAGCAAAUGUACGUCUGUGCGUUGUAUUUUCUUAUUUUCGGAUGGUUAUUAGAUAUAGCAUUAGUCAUCGGUGCGCUUACGAUAACGUUAAAAUAUUAUAAUAAAGCCAGACUUCUUAUGAUUGUAUUUUAAAUCCCGGGAUGCAAAACAAGGAGAAAACGUCACGACCUACAGGAAGUAGUUAAUAUUUAUUUCUUUAAUUAUUGAAAUUCUCCUUUAUUACUGCACAUAUAGCGAUACACUUUGUGAAUAUAUAAAAGUAAAAUAUCGCGAAUUUCCCCUCUAAAUCCUGAAAAUUUUGUCCAGGCAUUAAGCUAUAUGCCUAAACAGAAAAUUAUAGUAAAAUAAAAAAAAAUAAAAAAAAACUUUCGAAGUUAACGUAUAUUUUGUACAUAUUCGAUUGAUAAGAACUGAAGUCUGAAUAUCAAUUGCAUCAAAUAAUAUCAGGGUUUUUUUUUUUUGCUAACACUUGUACCUUGUGAUAGUCUUACACCUUUGUGGAGACAAUUGGCCAUUGUUAAUUUAUUGUUCCUCGUCCAUGUAGUAAGUAUAUCAUAAAUAUAUAAUUUUGACCAGCCAGUAUCACCCUGUGAUUGUCGAUGUAUUAGCUUUCAGUGACCAAGAACCAUACCUCUGGCCAGGGUUUCCCCUGGGUCAAUUAUUUUUUUCGCCACCUCUUUCGCCAAAACAAUAUAUUUUUGGCCACUUUAUUAUUUUUUUCGCCAAGUAACAUAACUAUAUUCAUUGAAUGUAUUUUAAACAACUUUUCUAAAUGAGGAGGCUACUUUCCUUUUAUAAUAAAGAAGAUAUAAGUCCUGGAAUAUAACAAAAUUAAUGGCCAUGUUUUGAUUAUAUAAUACCAGUAUAGUUCGUAGGGAAAGUUUCUUUAAAAGAAAAAUACUGAUGUGGCUUUUUGUACUAAGAAGUGGUUUUUAUAAUAAAAGAAAAACUUUUAUCACAUGAAAUUGAUCCCUCAUUUUAUGUGUAGUCAUAAAAUUGAAGCGCUACUCUCAUUCGAGGGGUUGUUCCCAACCUUUUGGAUAGAUUUCUUCAUAACCACAGUUUUCUUUUCUUGACCAUCGUAAAUAAAAAAGUGGAGACGUAAAACUAUUCUUGAAACACGCGUGUCACUCAAACGAUUUGUCAAGUAGUCUCCCUGAUCAAUUACCUAUAUUAAAGUCAAAGGAUAAUAGUUUUAAAUCGGAGAUUUUUCUUGCUUUUGAACAUUUUUCGUCACAACUACUUUCCUUUAUAAACUAUCUUUAAAAGCAGAGGAGACGCCAAAAGAGUUCUUCAAACACGUGCGUCGCAAAGUGGUAAAUAAAUUCUUUAUGUGACAUUUAACGGAAGCCAUUUAACUUUAUCAUUUUGUCAAUCAAUUCAAUCAACACCUUUAUUAAUUAGUCCUUUGUUGUCGAUAGCUAUAAAAUGCAAUCAGCUGAUUAUUGAUUUUCUGUCCAAAUCUUAAUGAGGUCAAGGUGAAUUCCGAGUAUUGCCUGAUCAGACAAAGUCCGAGAAAUUCGAAAAAAGUAAAUAAACAAGAUGGAGGAAAAUAAAUCGUUCUAUAUAUUUCUUUCGCCAAAUUCUUUCGCAAAUGACGAAUUUUUAUCGCCACAAUUAUUAUUUUUUCGCAAAUUGCGAAAAUGGCGACCGCCAGCGGAAACCCUGCCUCUGGCCGCAUUAUAAUUAAUUCAAAUAACCUUAGCUGUAAAUACGCGAACGUUGUCACUUUGCUGUUUAUGUGGAAAACAAGCUAUUGUGAAAACAAACUAAAUUAGAAGCCAGUAAUAUAAAUUAUUUUAAGGUGAUCUGGGAACACUAUAUAAGAAAAUGUAGCUUCCAAUUUUACUUUAAUUUGAAAUCGAUUCAAUUAAACAGUCCUCUUCUGUAAAAUUGUUUGGACAACACGGGUUUGACUGCUACUCUCUUUCCACAAAAUGGAAGUAAAAGUAUAGUCAUGGAAUCAUGGAAAAUUUGAACAUAGCCAUUAUCAGGUUGUUUAAUGCUAUGGUCUUUAAUAAUAUGCCGAUUUUACAUAUUUCUUUGCGAUUGUGUUUCCAAUAUACAGUGGAGAUCACUUCUAACCUCUCAUCAAAUCUGUAAGAAGCGGUCAGGAGAACUGUUCUAGGACAGUAUGUAGAACUGUCAUUCUGACACCUUUUAGACAGUUGUAGCUAGAACAGUUCUAACCUUGAACUGAUUUGGUCAGUUUUAUCACUAUUUUUUUUCUUUUCUUGUAUAACUGUAAUCCAUUCUCUCUAUUCAUAUAAUCAACAAUAUUAGAAAUGGCUGCAUUUUUUUACAACACCUGAUCAAAAAGACUCUAAAUCCCCCUUUUAUUGCACUUUUUACCCUAUUUUAGCUAAAUAGAUUUUUUUUAAGAAAGUUUACUGUUAAACACAUUUUUUUCUUUUUUUUUAAACUGAAAAAAGUAUCAAAUGUAUGGAUGUCUAUAUUAUUAGACAAAAUUUGUAAACACAGCAUUUUUCCCUCUUUUUUGCCACUUUGAGUUUUGUUACCAAGGAAACGGUAAACAAAUGGGGUUAAGUGUGAUAACUUUUUUGUUAACCUCAUGUGGCUCUAAUGAACUAAGUUUAAAACAAUUAUUUUUUAGUGCGUGCCGAAAUAUUUUGGUGAUUACAGAGAAUUGCUCUUAAAUGCUUAUAUUCUAGAUAAAGAAGUGAGAAAAAAUUUGGAUAUUUACGAAAAUUUACAUAUCCAAUAAAGGAGAUUGAUAAAUGAUGUGAUUUCUUAUCUUCAGUUGCGUAUUUUUGACCAACUAAAAUCAGCCUGACAAUUGAAAGAAAAUAUCACAAAGAAAUACGAGUACUUUUGAUCUGAAUACGAUACAAUACUUAGAAUUAGUAUAUAAGUUUAUAUCAAAUUUUUGAAAUAUAAUUUUUAAACGUUAUUUAUCAAGUACAUUUCAACGAAUUUACAUGUUGUAUUUGGAAGAUAAGCAAACAUAGCAAAGUUCACAUAUUGCCUGAAAUGGUGUUUGGCAAUAGGCUGAAUAAUCAUCAUCAGAUUUCAGGAAACAUGCUUAAUGCCUAGAAAUUUCAGGCAAUAACUUAAUGACUAAGCGUUAGCUUAUUGCCUAGGAUUUAAGCUUAAUGCCUAAUUUCACGUAUUGCCGCUAACAUAUAUAAAUAAAUACUUAAAGAAAGAGGCCAAAUAAAAUAUUGGUGGUUUACAGUUAUUCGACAAUAAUUGCUGGUUAUUCCUGCAAUAGUUCAUAGCUUUUCUUGGUUCAGGGACUUUUUCACCAAUGAAUAAAUCAUGUACAGAGACCAAUGUAGUUAACUAUACUUCUCACCUUACUCCUUGUAUCCCAAAUUAAAAGAAAUAUAUGCAGUUUGUAGUUAUCAUCUUCAUGUCUAACCUGAACAAUUUCUUAAAAGAGCUUUAAGAAGCAUUUCAAAUAUUUACCAUCAUCUAGCAUUUGCAAAAAAAAAGAAAUAGAUUGACCUCCUUCAUAUAAGUUAUAGUAAAAGUGCAAUGAUCAACCAAUAUAAAAUUUAAAUGACCUUAAAACAAAAAGAGAUGUUAAGGACUCACGAACACGGAUGUCGAGGAAAUUGAACAACCUUUUUUUGUAUGGAGGUCUCAAAUAUCACUAUUGUCAUUGGACUUUUACUGACUUUAAAACUAAUUUUGAUUUAAAGCUACAGAAAAAGCAAUUGCAUAAGCCUUUUUCCGCCUAGAAUCACAAAAUUAAAAAAAAGUCAUACUAAUGUAUAUAAAUAGCAGUUUCUAAAAUACAUCGAAAAAAAAAACGCUUAAAGGACUGUUACAUGAUUGAAUUAAUUAACUUUCUAAGCUACAAAAUAAACACCCAAUUGACUAUGAUUAAUUUAUAAACACAAGGGGUUAAUUUAUGUUUUUAAACUUCGAAUUGUCAAAAUAAUUAUGUUUAAUUAUGUAAAUGAGUUAUUCAAAACCCUAAACAAACAUCAUUUACACAUUUCAAAUGAAUGUUGUGUACAGAAAUGUUUUGUAAGUUUUAUAUUGAGUUUUUCAACUGCAAGUAAUCAGAAAAUGAUUUUUUUUAAAACUUCUGUUAAACGGCAGAUAUUUAUACAGUCUAAUUUUCUGUCUGUGGACACUAUUAAUUCUUCCUAAUUUGUAUGUGUGGGUCGUCGUCAUUUAGUCAAUUGUAUUAUCCGGUAUAGCUAAAUAGUUAUCAAAGGUACCAGGAUUAUAAUUUAGUACGAGCGUUUCGUCUAAAAGAGGGACGAAAGAUACCAAAGGGACAGUCAACUUGUCGAUUUGAAAUCAAGUUUCAUUUAUUUUACAAAUUUUCAUCAUUACCUUAUUACUUUAAAUCACCUUUUAUUACAUUGAUUGCAAGAAUAACAUUGAUUUCCAGGUGAACCGACAAUUUCACAUGUGAGAUAAACGUGGUACUCUUCUGACGUCAUGGAACUAUAAACGUUGUUAGACGUUGUCGAUAACAUCGGUUCAAAACAAAUUGUGACUGCGUAAAAAAAUAUAUAGUGCUUUACAUUAUUAUUUUAAUUUAAAGACAUUUGCAAAAGAAUAAUUCAAAAAAUUACCAAAUAAUCAAAAUGUAUGACAGAAACGUGUUAUUUGCAUAAUUGGUUUUAAACUAUUUGCACUUUAUGUCCCAAGCAUGGUAUCACUUUGUAUUAAAUUAAGUGUGACCUUUAUUUUCACAAUAAAAUUAUCACCACCAGGGUAUCACGUUAUAUUACAACCAAUGUGUCACUUCAUAUCAUCACUAGGAUAUCACUUUGUAUUCCCAGCAAGGGUUUCAUUAUAUAUCCCUAUCAAGAAAUCCCUCUAUACUUCCCAACGUGUAAUAUUUUAUAUAACCAGAAAGGGUUCAACUUUAUAUUAUCGUCAGGGAAUCUGUUGUCAUUCCAUGGUUUCACUUAUAUCACCUCAGGUAAAUCCCUUUAUGUACCCUCAUGGGUAUCAAUAUGUAUCACCUCUAGGGUUUCACUUCAUAUCACCACUAGAAUAUCCUAACACCAGGGAAUCACUUGUUAUUACCAACAGGAUAUUACUUGAAAUCAUGUCUUUUUUUAAAUUUUACAAUAUUUUUAAAAUAGUAAAAUCCUAAUACCACAGAACUACGAGGAAAAUAAACAAAAGAAAGUCAUUUAGCAAAUAGCAAACACAUUUAACCCCGCCACAUUAUUUAUGUAUGUGCCUGUCCCAAGUCAGGAGCCUGUAAUUCAGUGGUUGUCGUUUGUUUAUGUGUUACAUAUUUGUUUUUCGUUCAUUUUUUUUUUACAUAAAUAAGGCCCUUAGUUUUCUCGUUUGAAUUGUUUUCCAUUGUCUUAUCGGGGCCUUAUAUAGCUGACUAUGCGGUAUGGGCUUUGCUCAUUGUUGAACGCCGUUCGGUGACCUAUAGUUGUUAAUGUUUGUGUCAUUUUGGUCUUUUGUGGAUAGUUGUCUCAUUGGCAAUCAUACCACAUCUUCUUUUUUACAUAUACUAGAUUAUGGAGUGUGUGUCCGAGCCGAGAACUUCUCUAGUUCAUUCUAUGGUCGGGUUGUUGUCUCUUUGACACAUUUCCCAUUUCCAUUCUCAAUUUUACAUCACAUAAAUAGAUAACAACUGUCAUAUUCAAGACUUGGUACAGACAUUUUCUUAAGGAGAAAAUUGUAGUUAAGGGUUAAUAGCAAUAUAAACCUCUCACUAAUAUGACAGUUGAAUAAAAUCCCACUAUAAUGACAAUGAUGUGUGAUGAAAACAAAUAGACAUUGUAGGUAAAAAUGUCACAUUAGAUGUAAAGCAGUCAACAUUGUGUUACAAUCUUAAUCACUAUAAAGGCAACCCCAUAUGUAACAAAGAAUCACAAAAAGCCAUAUAGGAAAAAGCACACAUGCAGAAAUGAAAGACAUAAACACAAAAAUUUAUAAUACACAGGAAAUAAAGCCACGCAUGUACAACAUAAAUUUUACGUACGUAAAACAUGCGCUAGGAAACACAUAUAAAAUGCCUAUUUCUUACGCCGCACGUAAAACGCAGAUUUUAAACAUGCGUUACUAAUGCGUUUAAACGCAGUUAAAAAAAAAUAUGUUUGUGGUAACAUGCGUAUAAAAUGCGUUUAAAAAUUAUGCGACAAACAUCUGUUUAACAAAUAGCGUAUAAUACAUUUACAGAUAUUAUUCCAAAUCAUCCAUAAGGCCUGUACCAGGGUAACUAAAAACAAAUUCAUUUCAAUCUGUCUGGUUGCAGUAAAAUUGCAAAGUAUAAAUAAACACUAGCAAAGUAGAUAUUUGGGAGGUUUGAAAAUCACUUUCAGUUACUGAAACAUGUUAUCUAUAAACUCCCUAGAUCGUUUACGUUAAAAGUAAAUUGAUCUUUAUUAUUAUUAUUUUUCUAAAUGAGGAAAACUGUAUAUAUAAUAAAUCUAGAAACUAAAAAGCCUGUGUCUAUGUGCAUAUUAAACAAAGGACACAGAUGGAUUCAUGACAAAAUUGUGUUUUGGUAUUGGUGAUGUGUUUGUAGAUCUUACUUUACUGAAAUUCUUGCUACUUACAAUUUUCUCUAUCUAUAUAGACAUGGCCCUUUCAGAUAGUGGAAAAAAAUUACCAAUUGAAUUAAUGAAAAUUGUUAAAAAUUGACUAUAAAUGGCAACAACUUCUUAAGGGAUCAACUGAUUAGAUCUUAUUUUGCUGAACAUUAUUGCUGUUUACAGUUUAUCUCUAUCUAUAAUAGUAUUCAAGAUAAUAAAAAUGUCUUUACAAAUUACCAAUGAGGGGCAGCAACCCAACGCCAAAUUGUCCAAUUCAUCUGAAAAUUUCAUUGCAGAUGGAUAUUGACUCGACAAACAAUUUCACUCCAGUCAGAUUUUCUCUCAAUGCUUUGGUUUCAGAGUUAUAACCCUUAUGAAAUUUAAAAUGUUGCUGCAGCAUUGCCGCAGCGUUGCGGCUUUAAAGCUGCAACCUAAUCAGGUUGCCAGAGGAUUGUUGCCGGAGUAGUGCCGGAUGAUGCUGCUAGCGGCAUUGUUCUGGCAUCAUUGCGACACUAAUUCCUUUCAAAAUUAAUUAGCACCACAAUAUAGCCAGAAAAUUUGAUGAUGUCAUUUCCUGCGUUUUUAGCUAUUCCCUGUACUAGUGUGUUAGAAAUCCACCAUGUUGCUUGUGAUUAUAAUUGUAUUGAAGAAUUUGGUGUUCUAGCUGGUUUUUUUUGGAAGAUUUGAAGACUUGUAAGUAAACUCAUAUCAAGUAAUUGCAUGUAUAGAAAAGAUCAAUUUUGCAUUGUGUAUUUCAAUAACAUGGCCUCAUCUGAGUUCACUAUACAUGUAUCGGUGAAGUUUGUGUUGGUUUUUUUUUUUUGCAGCAGUUUAAUUGCAUACUUGUAGUUUGGUAAAUAACACAAUAUUAUUUGCUAAACUUAGGGCACAUUAAAAAUUUUCAUUAUUUUUUAUGCAGAUACCGCUGACAUUUAUUUUAUGUACCUGUGCAUACAAAUUUAUAAUGCAUGAAUGCAUGUCAUAUAUAUGCAUUGACAACUUGUUUUUGCCGGCACAAUACAUUUUAUACAAAGCACGGCCUAUUCGCAUGUUUUGUCACUAAAAUGAUGCAAGAAUAUAGCCGUAUUAGCGCCGCAACAGCACCACAAUCAUAAUGUCAGAAAACUAAUUUGCAUACGAAAUACGCUAUAGCUGAAUCAGUGCCGCAACAUGAUGCCAGAAUAUUGCCGCAACGGUGCCAGAAUAUAGCCGCAAUUAUGGUGCCAGAAAACUAAUUUGCAUACGAAAUAUGCUAUCGCUGCAUCGAAGCCGCAACAGUUUGCAGCAACAAAGCCGUAGCAUAUCCAUACUGCUGCCGCAACUAUGUGCCAGGAGGGCUUAUAUUUCCAUAAGGGAAGCCAUAGUCUACAUUUUACCCCUAUGUUCUAUUGUUAGCCAUGGCGGCCAUCUUGGUUGGUUGGCUUGGUCACCGGACACAUUUUUAAACUAGAUACCUCAAUGAUGAUUGUGGCCAAGUUUGGUUAAAUUUGGCCCAGUAGUUUCAGAGGAGAAGAUUUUUGUAAAAGUUAUCGACGACGGACGACGGACGCCAAGUGAUGAGAAAAACUCACUUGGCCCUGUGGGCCAGGUGAGCUAAAUAUAUAUAUAUAUAUAUAAUGAGAAAAUAACUCAAACUAUAAAUCAUUUCUCAUGUUCCGAUGAUGAGUUUUUGUCAGAACAUGAUACCAUGGAUACCUUGUAUACAUUUAUAAAAAUAACCUGCUUUUUGAAAUUCUCAAAUACGAGUCACGCAUUAUGUGCAUAAUAAAACGUAUGGACAUUUAUUGUUAUAAAUAUUUGGCAUCUCCUUCUUACAUUGAAAUUAAUAUAAAAAUGUUUGUUUUUUUUAAUUCCCUUAAUUUUCAUAAACCGCAGAAAAUAUAAAUGUAGAUCCGCAGAAACAGUAACAAUCUCAAACCCAUAUCAUAUAAUGGACCGGCUUCGUGCCGGCCCAUAAUAAGAAAAUUCAAGACUAUAAAUAGGUAUGUACCUGUAGUAAAACAAAUAUCCAUGGUAGGGCCUUUAAUAUUUCUACUGGACCCUUUGGAAAAAAAAUUGGGAUCAAGGCUGGCCCCUGAGCAAUUUUAUAUUUAUAAUUAAGAUGGGAAUACAUGACCUAUUUUUAAUGUUUGAGUUUUUAUUAGCCUUAAACAAGGUUUCAGUAACUGAUUGUACUAUCAGGUUUGUAAUUUUGAUUGUUUGUCUGUAUGUUUUAUUUUUUAGCUUUGUGCCAAUCCAAAAAAUCAAGCAAUUUCUAACUGAUUUCAACGCUUCGAUUUUAUUCUGUACUGUUACACAACUGUCCCAACAUUUUAUUUAUGCCUGUUUGGUAUAUAUGACGUGGCUCUGUACUAACACAUCCCGUCAUUGUAUUAAGAUUCUAUGAUAAUUGUUUUAUUCUUGUCUUGAAUGUAUACUGAUGUGCUUUGUCUAUGUGUCUUUGUUCACACAUCGUUGUCAUUGUAAUGGAAUUUGAUGCAACUGUGAUACAAGACGAGAUGUAUAGCUAGCUAUAAAACAAGGUUUAAUCCACCAUUUUCUACAUACGAAAAUGCCUGUACCAAGUUAGGAAUAUGACAGUUGUUAUCAAUUCGUUUGAUGUGUUUGAGCUUUAGAUUUUUCCAAUCUUUUAAAAGAUGUCUUGUGAUUGUGUAAUUUCUGCCUUUUGUUUGAAAUGACUGAUAUUUAUUAUGUCGGAUGUUGAAAGUUGCAUCGUCCGCAUGGUUUAUAAUCUCCCAUUUUCUCUGUCUCUUGUUUAGAUAUUUUAGAUGUAGCUCGAAUAUCCUUGAUGUGUUUUUCUGCGCAAAGUUAAGACGGAAGGUGAUGGAAUAAUCUAUUUUAGGGAAGAUUCAUUGUGAAUAUCAUGCCACUGUUUGUUUGAACUGUCUUUUCUUCGUAUUUAAGUAGGUUUAUUCGUUCGUUUUCUUUUACUUUACGAAAGCUUUUGAAAUCUUCUUGUUCUUAUAAACAAUGUAGACCGAUAAACCUACUGGAAUACAAAGAAAAAAUGACUCAAAAGAAUAAAAUUUCACUUGUUGCACUGAAGUCACAGACACCAAGUUUCAAAUCCGGCUGAGGGAACAAAACAUGUUUUCCCUUUUUAGCAUUAAGAGUAUAUCUUCGUAUACUUUAUUCAUUAUGAGAGCCAAACGGAUGUGAGGUUAUUCACGGAAGAUAUAUAAAGUAGUCAUAGCGCAUGCAAAAAGCAUGAUACAUAUACACUGUGUCUUCAUGUACAUAUACAUGUAGCUAUACAUGAUAUUUACCUUCAACAGUACUUUAGUUUUGUCCAUUGUUUAAGAUGAUCUGCUGUUUAAACAAUGAAUUUAACCUUUGUGAUUAUGGUUGCAGUCGUCUAUUUGCAAAUGAAUAUGACCCUUUAUUACAUGUAAUGCGUCGUUUUAAAUCUUUAGAGUACACAUGUGUAUGUAUCUUCAUUAAAACAUUUCUUUACACAGGAUUAUUUUGUUAAAAAUAAUAAGAAUAAACAGUUACGUUAUCAAUAUGCCAUUUUGUAAUUUUUGUGUACCUGUCGAGUGUUUGGUUGUGGAUAUUGAGCCCAUAAAGCAUUGUUCAUUCAGUAACAGUUUUUGUAACAGUAACUAAUUUCAAACAGUGAUCUUUUUCUUACUAAAAACGACAGUUUUGAAUAAUGUCUUGUGUCUAUAUAUAUUGGAAUUAUAGUAAAUCUAAUAGUCAAAACGGUUUACAAUUAUUAGACCCCAAAUACACUAUUAAACACGAAGUUUUAUAUACAUGAUACAUCAUUUUUAAAUUUCAAAAAGCAGAAUACGACAGUUGUUUUAAAAUUCAAACAUGGCUAUAUAUUUAAACUCACGCAUUACCUCAUAUGUAAGAUUUUUAGUGCAACACAUUUUGUUUGUAUAAAAGGCAACCAUUAAAGAAGUAAAAUACAAUAAAUGUUAUAUAUAAAUAUCUGCUUAAAGUUCAAUUUCAUUGGAAUGAUUACGUUUUAAACAUUUUUUAGUUGAUCAAAUUUGAAAAUAUCAACACCAUCUGUGAAUGCAGAAAUUAUAUAAUACUUUACCGGUAACAGAAUUACAAAAAAACCAUAAUUGACUACCUCGCUUUUACUUUGUUACAGAGUUUUGCACAACAAUCAAAUUACUAAAAUACAGAAGGAAGCAUUUCAAAACUUAUCAGCACUGACUACACUGUAU
Molecule: long non-coding RNA, 40113 nt
Filed under: Mytilus galloprovincialis (Mediterranean mussel)
Lineage: Eukaryota; Metazoa; Mollusca; Bivalvia; Mytilida; Mytilidae
Source: RNAcentral